This is a non-coding RNA of Pantherophis guttatus, 8075 nucleotides long. The record is from RefSeq and is a predicted model, not a curated record. NCBI's taxonomy places the organism in Eukaryota, Metazoa, Chordata, Lepidosauria, Squamata, Colubridae.
GUUACUGCCUGGGCCUUUGCGUUCCAUUCUCGCAGCCGCGGCUAAGCUCGCGUUGUGCGGAUCCCUCACUUCUUCCCAUAGGUUUGUGGCUCCCCAAGAAGCCUUGCAGCUGAGUGGGUGAUGGUGGUAGGCACAGGCAAGCUUCGACAGGGAACUUUGCAAGCGGAACAGGCUCGAUGGAAAAAUAUGAGAUCCUUGGACUUGUUGGAGAAGGAAGUUAUGGAAUGGUGAUGAAGUGCAGAAACAAGGAGAAUGGCAGAGUUGUUGCCAUCAAAAAAUUUUUGGAAAGUGAAGAUGAUAAAAUGGUUAAAAAAAUUGCCCUGAGAGAAAUAAAAUUUCUCAAGCAAUUAAGACAUGAGAACUUGGUGAACUUGCUGGAAGUCUGUAAGAAGAAAAAACGAUGGUAUCUGGUGUUUGAAUUUGUAGAUCACACAAUCCUUGAUGAUCUUGAGAUGCUUCCCAAUGGCUUGGAUUAUAACAGAGUUCGAAAAUACUUAUUUCAAAUUAUAAAAGGGGUAGGAUUUUGUCAUAGUCAUAAUAUCAUACACAGGGAUAUUAAACCUGAAAACAUAUUGGUCUCCUGUUCGGGAAUUAUCAAACUCUGUGAUUUUGGAUUUGCUCGAACGCUUGCAGCUCCUGGUGAAGUUUACACAGAUUAUGUGGCAACACGGUGGUAUCGAGCUCCUGAGCUGUUGGUUGGUGAUAUCAAAUAUGGCAAGGCUGUUGAUGUGUGGGCCAUUGGCUGCCUGGUAACUGAAAUGCUUACAGGAGAGCCCCUUUUCCCUGGAGACUCUGAUAUUGACCAAUUAUUCCAUAUUAUGAAAAGUCUAGGUAACUUAAUUCCAAAGCACCAGGAGUUAUUCUACAAAAAUCCUCUCUUUGCUGGAGUGAGAUUGCCUGAAAUCAAAGAUUUAGAACCUCUUGAAAAACGAUACUCAAAGCUCUCCAUUGCAGUCAUAGAAUUUGCAAAGCAAUGCCUGCAAACUAAUCCAGAAAAGAGGCCAUCUUGUAAUGAACUGCUGCAAUGCAACCUCUUCAGCAAAGAUGGGUUUGCUGAAAGAUUUAUUCAAGAACUUAAAAUCAAGAUUCAAAAAGAAAAAGAACAUUCUGUACCCAAGAAACCAAAAAUAAAUAAGGACAAAGAUGAUAUAGGCGAUGAAAGAAAAAUGCUUUUAACCCAGGAUUUAGGUGUGAAUUCAAAGCUCAAAGACUCCAAGCUGUUCAGAAUGAAAGUAUCUAAGGCUGACAUCCUGAAAUCGGAAAGAUCAUCAUGUAUGAGUUUCCUGUAUGAUAACAGUGUUGGACAAUUUAAUACAAUUCCAAUAUAUCUAAAGGAUUCAAACAGUAGCCUAGAAUAUGUGAAGAAUCCAAGCAUGGUAAUUCCUCCCAUUGCACAGAAUUAUUCCACCACACAAUCCAGCAUCGAUGGGACCCCCACAAUGGGGACAACAUUGGCAAGCCAUAAUUACAGAACUGAUGAGAAAACCAAAACAUAUUUUAAUCCUUGUAUCAAGCAAGGGAAAAAGUCACCAGCAGGUCACUAUAAUGUGAACUUAACAGCAUCGAUGCCAAAAGAGAACAAUGUUCUUCAGUCCCUCAAAAAAAAGUGGGAGUUUUCUAAAGCAGAUGUCCAUUUGCCAGAGCUUAAUUACAGCCAUCUCCCUGAACUCAAAGGCGUGGAUGUUUGGAAUUCCAGAUUUCUAAAGAAAGAAAACAAAAUUGUUCCAGAGUCUCGCAUGCCAUCUCUUGCCACAAUAGAUCUUCAGAAUCCAAAUCUGGCUCUGCAUCAGAUAUCUGGAAGCUCCUUGCAAGAUACCUCAGAAGCCACCUUCCCCAAGGUAGAGCAUUAGUAACAAGCGGAAUUGGCAACUCUUACGUGAUUCCCAUUGAUUACACAUCUGCAUCACUUUUACACUCUUAUGGAGUUACAGCUUACAUUUGCAAAGUCUAUGACAAAUACUUUCCUCCCGUAAUAAAUUAACUUGGAUGAAUUAGAAAAAAACUAAGCAUGAUAUGAUCUGAUUAGUACUUGGAUAAAAGAUCAUCAAGACAUUUCAAGUUUGUAGACUCUGGAAAUUUGGAAAAAAAUAAUCACCAGUCAAGUUCAACGAUGAAGUCACCAGGAGUCAAACUCAACUCAAGGGAUACUUUUCUUUGUAUAAGUUUUCUAUCAAAAUUGAGAGAAUGCUUGCAGUUAUUCAUAGCUCUAUGUCUCUCUAUUCAUUUCCUAGUUUUCACUGAAUUAUCUUCACGUAGUUUCAAGCAUUCAAGGAAAAUCAGCACUCCUAAACAUUAUGUUAUUUGAGUAGUACUUUUUUCUAUCACUGCACCCAAAUAAUGUGAAUUGAUCAUUUCUAAAGCAUUCUUAUAUAAGACAUGUUAUUGAAGAUGCUUAAAAAGUGUGUUGUGAAUAUCAGUGUUUGUAUAUAUUUGCCCUUAUAACUCUUCAAUGCAUUUGGAAAUUCUGGGUAUUGUUACUGUUUUGAGUAAACAGAUAUCUAACAUUUUUAGUUUCCAGAUAAUAAUAAAAUUGUAGUAAUUAUAAUUAUUAGAAUACCAGUGAUAUUUCAUAUCUACAGCAGGAGUGGGCAAUCUAAGCACCAUGUGGAUUGCCUACACACACACACACACCAGUUUCCCAUUGACUGCCUUUUCAGAUCGAACAAAAUUGAACAUUACAGAAUCACCAUUCUUCCAUUUUGGUGAUAUAGGAAAAUUUAAAGACAAAUCCAGUGCUUUGUAGUACCAACUAUAUUGCUUAAAAAUGCCUGUCUCUCUCCUCCCCAUUAUACAUAACUUUUUGUGCGUACAGAAAUGGUCUCCACAAAGCACAUUCUAUGAUAAUGAAGAUGCUGAUUUGGAAGCUAAUGGCAAUGUGAAGUUUCUCUUACUUGCCACUAAAAGCUUUGUAAAGCAUAAUGAAGGAAGAAGGAUUCUGCAACCACUGCAAAGGACUUGAUGUUUGGAUGCUGCUUGCUGGAAGUUUUAUGAGGAAGUAUUAUGUACUUUGGCCUCAGCAUUUUAAUGAAAACAAAUCAAUUCUUUUAAAAAUAUGGAUGGAUAUAAAGGUAAAGGUUUCCUCUGUCCAGUUGUGUCCUACUCUAGGAGACAGUGCUCAUCUCCAUUUCCCAGUGGAGGGAACUAACUUCCGAAGACAUUUCCAUGGUCAUGUAGUCAGCAUGACUAUAUGCCAAGGCACAUGGAACACUCUAAUCUUCCCACGAAAGUGGUACCUAUGUAUCCACUCACAUUUGCAUGCUUUCUAACUGCUAGGAGGUGGGGCAAGGAGUUCACCUUGUCACAUAGCACUCAGGUCUUGAACUCGGGCUGUUGGCUUCCAGCUGACCAGCUCAGAUUUUUUAACCAUUGAGCCAUCAUGCCCCCCCCCCCAUGGAUACAAUUGUUUAUUAAUUAAAAAACUGAAUCAUAGUUUUUUAUAUUCAUAUAAUUGAAUCAUAGCCAGACCAGUGAUAAAAGAGCUCUUUAUAGCAGCUAAAUAUCUUAGUAGAAGACAAUUGUUAGUACAGUAGACUGGGGUUCCAAUCCUGGCUGGUACCUUUUUACCAGUAGGAGUCCUUGGCAAAAAGAAAACCCUAAUGCUUCAUCUGCCUAUCUCAAAAUAUGAGUUACACAAACUAAAAGAGUCAUGCUGUCUUGCAUGUUAUCUAGAUUAACACAGUCCACAUUAGUGAUUGAGGAACAGGACAAUGUGAUAAUAGACGGGCUACUGGAAUUAACCAUUCAUGGACAUAGCAAGAGAACCUGGAAUUGAUGGAAUGCUACCACAACAUAGACCUAAUGAGAGGGAGUAUAUGAAAUGCAUGAGGGAACUGCAACCACACUAACUGAGAAAAGCUAGUUACCCAACACUUUUUUUUUUUUUUAAUUUGAUUUAUAUGCCGCCCUUCUCCGGAGACUCAGGGCGGCUUACAGUGCGUUAAGCAAUAGCCUUCAUACUUUUGUAUAUUUAUACAAAGUCAGCUUAUUGCCCCCACAAACUGGGUCCUCAUUUAACCUACCUUAGAAAGGAUGGAAGGCUGAGUCAACCUUGAGCCUUGGAGAGAUUCGAACCAGCAGUAAAUUGCAGGCAGCUGUGUUAAUAACAGGGUGCUUUAAACCACUGUAGUACCAACACUUCAACAUUGUGAAGCAUGUAGCUGAUCUAUCUCACAAUUUGAGAUAGAUCAGCUACAUAUUACAUCCCAAAUUCAAGAAGACUUGGAAGAAGAACUGGACAUGUAGCCAACACCUGAAAGUGGAAUGUCAAUACCACCUCUCCUUUACAAAGUACAACAGUGGAUAUGAGGCAUAAGAUCACAGAUAAACUUGCUACAAUCACCUGAGAGUGGUUACCAAGGCUCAGUAGAGAAAUACCAUCAGAUAAUAUAUUAGAAGCCCUCACAACAAUCCUUGAUAUCACAAUAACUCAAACUAAUGAAUUGGUAUAUACUACAGUCACUAUAAUCCAAUAUUUGGCUAAGAAAAACAGUAAUACAUACUCUCUCUGGAAAAUGAGGUUAGAGGCUAAGAUCAAGAUAACUCGGAAAGAGGAUAGUUAACUGGUGGAAUUACAGAAAGGUGUAAAGAUUAGGGAUAAGAUUAGGUUUCUGAAAACAUACAAAGGCCUGACUCUAUCUGAAAUCCUUGAGAUGGAUAAACAAAGGCUUACAGUACUGGCUACCAGGCCAAGAAGAUAGAGAAGCAGAGGCCAAGAAGAUAAAUGCCUUGUUCUUCAAAGAACCAUCCAAGUGUGCUUGCAGUGCAAUAACAGUAACAACAGAGCUACCAUUAGCAGAAACUGAAUAGUACUGGAAGAACAUAUGGGACAAAGAGAAGCCAUAAAACAUCAGUGUAAAGUGGUUGCAGGACCUGCAGCACACCACAGCAGUCUUCCAGAACAAGAACCAGUCAUCAUCACAGUUGCAGACAUUCAGCAGCAGGUUAAGAACAUGAAGAACUGAAUAGCACUGGGCCCAGAUACAAUCCACAUCAAUUGACUAAGGAAACUAACAUCAGGGCAUGAAUGCCUAGCAUCACAAAUAUAUUAGCUAGCAGCAGGUUCCCACCCACACUGGUUAACACAAGGAAGGACAGUGUUGAUCAUGAAAGAUCCCCACAAGGGAACAACAAUGCCCAACCACUGGCCAAUAAUCUGCCUCCACACAAUGUAUAAAGUCCUAUCAGACAUUAUAGCAACCAAGCUACAGAACCAUAUGGGCCGAUAUAUGAACUCAGAUCAGAAGAGCAUUGGGAACAACACCAGAGGCUCCAAAUAUCAGAUGCUCCUAAAUAGAGCAGUUGCCUAAGAAUCAAAUCUAGACAGACCAAUCUAAGUACAGCCUGGAUUGAUUACAGAAAAGCCUAUGACUCAAUGCUGCACACACGGAUCUGUGAAUACCUGGGGCUACACAAAGUCAACAGGACACUAAGGACUUUCCUCAAAAACUCAAUGGGACUAUGGAAGACAACACUGGAAAUCAGCUCAAGACAGUUCAUAUAAGUGACCAUUAAGUGCAGCACAUACCAAGAUGAUGCACUGAUGAUGCACUGUUCUGCGGAAGCUUGAACUCCUUUAGCCAGAUAAUCACAGGGACUGGAUAUGGAUUCAAGUUCAAGAGUAGAACUACUGUCAGCCACUUCCUCUACAUAAAUUACAUCAAGUUGUAUGGUAAGGGUGAAUGAGACAUCAAUUCACUGAUCCACCUGACAUGGAUCUAUAGUGAGGACAUUCGGACUGGAGAGGUAUGGCAAGUAGGUGAUCAAGAGAUGGAAAGUUUCCAGAAAAACAAAUAAGUUUUGAGAGCCCAAAGUGUACAAAUUCUACAUAUUUUCUAUUUUUUCCCUCUCUUGCUCAUCAUUAUUCAUUUCAUCCCUUGAUUGCAAUUCUCUGUCUCUAAUUUUUCCCCCAGGCCUUUCCUUUCUUUUCUUAUACCCUUGUAUUUAAACUAGGAAUGCCCAACCCAAUAGCUAAGGGUACCAGUAUGUACUCUUAAGAGUAUAUCCCUUGAAUUCAAAAGGACAUUGUAAUUAAUUAAUGAGAUUUAAUUGCAUUGUUUCUUUUCUAACUGACUUUUAUAUGACUUAUUUUUUUGCAUAAGAGGAAAUGCUUUCUUAUUACCUUCUGUCUCCUGUAUCAAAUAGGAAUAUUAUCUUUUACUGUGGAAAUAACUUUUCAUUGAUGCAUAUUUUUAACUGAUUAUUUGUUAAAUGAUGUGAAUAAAACAAUUCAGAGAUUAGAAAAAUAAUAUAUAUUUUAAGGUGCAUCUGCUGCCCAGAGACAUUUUUGUAUUAGAUCUUGUUUUAAUUAAUUCGCUUAUGGCAUUGUUUUCAUAUGUGAACCUUCUAUAUGUGAUUUUGCUAUUACAGUUUAUGGCACAUGAACAUAAUUAUGUUUGUAGAAGAUAUAACUAGCCUUUGAAAAAACUGUUGUUAUUGGGUAGAGCGUAGGCUAAUAUUUAUGUUUGAUCUUUCAUAUGAACAAAAACAUAAAUGCUAUCAUUUUUAUCCAAAUACUGACCUCUCUCUUAUGUAACCACAAAAUAUCAUUCUGAUUUCAAUGUUUAAAUAACCUAUAAUUUCUAAGCUCUGUGGCUUUGCAAUGUUCAAACAUGUAUUUCUCAUUGUGUAGAUAAAAUGUUAAUUAAAUGUCUGUCUCAUGUUUGAACAGAGAUUUAAAAUCAGUGAUAGUAAAGCAGAAACAAGUGAUUUAAGAGGGUGAGUUAAUGCCUUGAAAUAAGUGAGAGGCAGCAUUGUGCCAGCUUUUUAGGUUUCCCAUACAGCAAUUCCACUGUAUCUACUUUUCCUUAAUAUGACUAAAAGUGGGGAGCAUCUGCAUUUAAUCGGGGAAAGAGCUGAAAUAAGUGGGCCCCUUUGUCCACUCUCCUGCUCUGUUCUCCCCCUAAUGGCCAUUUGUAAAGGCUCACUAAGUGAAUUCAAAAUUGGGUAAAUCAGGAUUCUGAGGGAACAAUUCCUUUUCUCUCUGCAGGGAAGGGGAUAGUGUAUCACCAUUUCCCACCCUUGCAUAGAGCAUUUACUAAUAUCUGGACAGGUCUGCCUGAAUAUAUCUUCUGAUAUAUGUGCUUGUUCCAAGUUAUCUGUCGCUUAAUAUUCUUACAGAUCUUUUUUGCUCAUUUAAAUAUGUGUCUCUGCGUACUCAUGCAUCGUUCUGCUUUUAGUCUUCAUAUAAGCAAGCUGAAAGGUUGAAAAUGGCUUCAGUUGUGAAUGUUUCUUGCUCUACCAUUUUUUAACCAACUGAAAUAGCAAUGGAGACCGCAAUCAAGUGGGAGUGGAAGGAGAUGCUUGACUUUUACUUUGGAAGAUCUUUCUACUCAAUAUUGUUCUCCAUUUCUCCUAAGUAUUAACUUAAACUAUAUUCCUUUUCCUAGAACAAUAUUUAAUAACAUAGAUAGUAAAUAAAAUUAUAAGACAAGCCCAUAUUAUAUGGAGAAGCAUAUACUCCAUCAUUUUAUAAUUCCAGCACAAGUGAUAGCUAAUCCUUUAUAACAUCACACACACAUACACACAAAUGCUAUUUUGUAAGUUAAUUGUACCAACUUGAUUUCAGGAUGAAAUCAGAGGCCUGAAUUCUAAACAUCGAUUAAUAGUCUAAAAUUAUUCACCAUUUUAUUUUCUGUAAUUCUAUGGAUCUAAAUGUAUUGGCAUCAGCAUUUAAUAAGGAAGCUGAAUCUAUAAUCAGCCUUCAACCUUCUUUUAUCUGAGCUUCUUUGAAGGAAGUCAGGAAAAGAACAUUAUUGCACAUCUUCAACAAUACGGGGGGGGGAGGGGGGAAUUAAUGUAUGACCCUUAUUACACAUUAAGAUAGCUUCAACAGAGGGACCUUUUCCUAUUUUCAUGGGUAAAAUAUAUUAUUUCCCAAAGAAUGAAAUAUGCAGCUAAAAACACUGCUUGAUCUCAUAUGCUUGGAAAAGCUAUAGCAUUUUUAAAAUGAUUAAUUUCAGCCUCAGUAAUCUUUGACUAUUAUAAAAGUGAAUAUGAAAAUCAAAAAGCAGAUGUAUUAGAUUGGAACUAUUACAUAGCACUCCUGAUUGUUGGAAAUAAACAUUAUUGUAUCAUUA